CCCUGUGAAAGUGAUGCGCGCCAGUCAUCUUUGGGCCACAACUAGCGGUUUCACGACUUUGCAUUGGGUCAAUGCGCACCACGCGCACCUAUGGCUCCCGGCAAAGGAUUCUGGUUAGCAAUCUCUUGGGGGAAGAGGACCAUUCCAGCCCCAGACUGUGCAACUCUGCCGGGUAGAAGUGGAACACCCACUUCUGCCCAAUCUAUGCUCCUGAAAGGAAUCGCGCUCGUUCCACACCACAAGCCUGGCUUGUAGCUUUCCCUUACCAUGCACCACCCGAAUACAGAAUUCAAUUCUUAGGCUGAAAGAGCAGCGCGUCCCCUCCUUGUCCAGGGCUAGGGCAUUUUAAGAAGGGAUCUUCCCAUAUCUCUUAAGCCAAGUAGGGUUCUUUAGGAACUUUUGCGAUAGUAGUGUGUGUGUGUGUGUGUGUGUGUGUGUGUGUGUGUGUGUGUGUUAAAUAACCAAAUCGCCGGUCGGCUUACAGCUGGAAGCCAGUUAUUUAAGCUUGCUGAGCCUCCUUUCUAACGGAUCAGCUCUAGCUGUGUGAGGGAUAAGUUGACGAAUGAAGAAAAAACAUGAUUAUCUCAAGUGACUCGCACAUCCCGUUUUCCGUUGCACAAAUAAAAGUCUGUGUCUUGGGCCCAGUUGCAAGCCUGCCCACGCGGGCCAGGCUUUGAUAUUUAAACCAGGCCGGGUGAAACUACAGGUUGGGGCACUCCGCAACUUAGGCAUCCUAUCCUCCUCCCCCUAAGCAGUCGGAGAAGAGGUUUGACUGCUCAAAGGGUGGCCAGAGACAGAGACGGGACACUGGCCGAAGGGGAGCAAGUGGUGGUGGCAGCUGAGCCCGGCGAUGCCUGGGGAGCUGCACCGGCUCAUCAGUCUCGUUCUCCAGAAACUAAAAACAGUCUCAAGCCGCUGCACACUGCCGAACGUCGGCACGAUUCUCUAAGUUCGGAAACCACGAAGCAGUGUGGUGGAUUCGCACGACCAGAGCGUGUCAUUCUCUCAAAAACAAAGAGCUGGGUGCCGCUUGCUCGACUCCUGCCCCCACCGUGCGCUCCAAACAGCGCGUUUCUCCCCAUGCGGAAAUUCGCUCAACUUCUCCAAGUACGAGCUAGAGCAGGCGGUGGAAGCCAGCCGUUCACGAGAGCUGCUCCGAGCUCCCACUUGGCUGGAAGGGCGUCACUGCUCCAGCGCCUUCUUAACUCAGCCGCAGAAGAACGCUCGGCUAAAAAGGACACAGUGAGCCUGUGGAGAACGUUUUUAGAAGCUGGGGGACUGGAAGGCUCGCGUAUCCCACAAACUUGUGGGGAAGACCGUUGGGGCUGAAGUUUCACUCGGAAAGGGCAGUCCCGCUCUGGUGCACGUUCCCCAGGCUUCGGGCAGCCAACCCGGUGUGACGCUGCUAGAGGCUUGGGAGCGCAGGCUCUCCGUCAAGUGUCUCUGAUGUGGCUUCCUAUUUUUUUUGACAGCGAACCCCACUGGGUUUGGAGAGCAUCGAUAUUUGGAAGAGCCCCCAUCGGGGGUCUUCUUGGAGCAUCAGAGGAGAUAGAGCAACUUUCGGUGCGGCUGGGGAACUGCCGCUUUUAGUUUACUAAGGCCAUGCGUCUCUAUCCCUCAGCCACCUACUAUUCGGCUCCAAACGAAAUAGGAACAGAUGUUAGGAAACUGGGGGGAAGGAAGCGGGUAAACCUCAAGUUAUUGAGGACACUCCUUUUAAUAGUGGAGCUACGCCGACCCGAGAGACAUUAGACUUCAUCACGCAGGAAUGGUGGAGGAGGCUGGGACUGGAAACUACAAGACUCUCAGGGCGUUCCUGUCCUCUGGAGAUGACUGUGGUGACAAGUGUACCAGAGAAACAGCUGAAGCCUUUUCCCGCCUCCCCCCAAAGCUGAUGACCUUACACAAUACUCGCACAUCAUUUGUUCCCUAACUUUCUGUACUUGUCUUGGAGCUUGCUCAGCUGUCUCUGAAUGACCCUCUCUCGGCACAGACUACAUGGCAGUUUCUCCCUGGAAGCAUCCUGUCUGCUCAGCCCAAGCUUGAGAGCCUCCUCCUGCAGAGUGAGCAGGACUAAAGUGGAGACAGCAUCUCAGGCAGUGUGGGGUGCUGUGCAGCUUGUCUCGACUUUCCCACAGCUUUCCAAAUCAACUGGCCUCUGACUUGUCAUUUUUGAAGAAACUGAGGUGCAGAGAAAGGAUUUGACGUGAGGAUGUGGAAGGAGCUGGGAGCAGGGUCUGCAGCGGCCUCUGGAUGUCUUGAGUUUGGAGUCCAUUUGCUCAGUUCGAAGGAGGUACAAUAGCUAACAAUGAACUACUGUUCAUAUCUCUCACUAAACAGAGAACUCAAUGGUCUACACUGGCUGCCCAAAGAACUCUGGAGAUCUUCCUCUCUCUACCCUUCCCCCAGCACUGAGAUUACAGACACAUCAGCACAGAAGACCUUCAUAUGGGUACUGGGGAUUUGAAAUCAGAUUCACAUGCUUCUGUGGCAGGCCCACAGGACACACAGGAUGAUACUUCCACGUCUCAUGCCAGGGCAGAGUGAGGCUCUCAUGGGCCUGUAUCAGAGAGGCUGCUUCCCCCACCUCUUCCCUGUAAAUUUCCCAAAGUCUCUAACUCUGAUUCAUUUUCAUUCUUCGCUGCAGUGUGUGUUCACAGAGCCCUUGGAAGAAGACUUUGAUUGCUAAAAGUUGUGAGCCUGUGGCGGGCAAGGCCUGUACUUGGUGCAGCAAAGGAAAUUCCAUCACACCUGCUCCUCAGUCUAGGAUCCCAAGUUAGCCAGCUCCCACUUUGCCCCAAGAGAUAGCCUCUCUCCUCCUAUUACCAAGAAACAGUAGAAUUUCAGGAAAGGGAUGAUCCCAUAUUUAAGAGGCUUGAAAUUGUAUGCAUGACAUUUCUGAGUUAAGUUCUAAAAUACAGUCCCCUUAAUCAUAGGAAAAAUAAGAAAUGUAGUUAAAACUUAUUUAAAAAACAUUGCACUAGGAGAAAUGAAAAAUUAUGUUGACAUAAAACAUGUAUAAAACUAUUCAUGGCAUCAGCAGGGCUGGGAUAUAGCUCAGUCAUGGAGGGCUUGCAGAGCAAUGUGCAUGGUCCCAGGUUCAAUCCCCAGCCCUGGGAUAGAAAAGUAGGAGGGGAGGAGGUAUUCACAGCAGCAUUUCCAAUAUCUACAGAAAAGAGAAACAAUUCAAACACCUACAAAUGAAAGGAUAAAUAUAAAAUGCCAUAGCUAUAUGAUGGGAUACUAGUCAGCAGUAGAAAAGUAUGAAGUGAUAGAGAUGACAGUAUGGAUGACUUUUUUAACAUCUUCCUAAGUAACAGAAGCCAAUCACAAGAGAAGGCACCCACUCCAUAUUUCUGGAGUAUAUAGGCAUAUCUAUAUAUAGAGAAAGCAGAACAGUGGUUGGCUAGAACUUGGAGAGGGGGCCUGGACUUGGGGAGACAGCAGAGAGGUGCAGCAUUUCUAUGAAUGGAGAUAAAAAUAUUCUUGAAUUAAUUGAAGUGAUGGUUGGGCCACUUGAUAACUGCAUUUUAAAACCACUGAAUUUUACUUGCAAGUGGGGGAAUUGCAUGGUACGUUGAUUAUAUCUCAAUAAAGCCUUUAAUAUAUUUUAUUAAAAUAAUAUAAUAAUAUAAAAGAUACUUUAAGACCUG
This is a long non-coding RNA of Peromyscus leucopus (white-footed mouse), 3653 nucleotides long. RefSeq lists it as uncharacterized. The record is from RefSeq and is a predicted model, not a curated record. Lineage: Eukaryota; Metazoa; Chordata; Mammalia; Rodentia; Cricetidae. The transcript is spliced from 4 exons.